GACGAACGCUGGCGGCGUGCCUAAUACAUGCAAGUCGAACGAGAGCGACCGGUGCUUGCACUGGUCAAUCUAGUGGCGAACGGGUGAGUAACACGUAGGUAACCUGCCCAUCAGAGGGGGAUAACAUCCGGAAACGGAUGCUAAAACCGCAUAGGUCUUCGAGCCGCAUGGCUUGAAGAGGAAAAGAGGCGCAAGCUUCUGCUGAUGGAUGGACCCGCGGUGCAUUAGCUAGUUGGUGAGGUAACGGCUCACCAAGGCCGUGAUGCAUAGCCGACCUGAGAGGGUGAUCGGCCACAUUGGGACUGAGACACGGCCCAAACUCCUACGGGAGGCAGCAGUAGGGAAUCUUCCGCAAUGGACGCAAGUCUGACGGAGCAACGCCGCGUGAGUGAAGAAGGUUUUCGGAUCGUAAAACUCUGUUGUUAGAGAAGAACAAGUGCUAGAGUAACUGUUAGCGCCUUGACGGUAUCUAACCAGAAAGCCACGGCUAACUACGUGCCAGCAGCCGCGGUAAUACGUAGGUGGCAAGCGUUGUCCGGAUUUAUUGGGCGUAAAGCGAGCGCAGGCGGUUCCUUAAGUCUGAUGUGAAAGCCCCCGGCUCAACCGGGGAGGGUCAUUGGAAACUGGGGAACUUGAGUGCAGAAGAGGAGAGUGGAAUUCCAUGUGUAGCGGUGAAAUGCGUAGAUAUAUGGAGGAACACCAGUGGCGAAGGCGACUCUCUGGUCUGUAACUGACGCUGAGGCUCGAAAGCGUGGGUAGCAAACAGG
RNAcentral lists this ribosomal RNA (767 nucleotides) under uncultured Granulicatella sp. RNAcentral's name for it is "bacterial SSU rRNA". It matches the Rfam family "Bacterial small subunit ribosomal RNA", at positions 28 to 776 of the family's 1533-position model. Lineage: Bacteria; Bacillati; Bacillota; Bacilli; Lactobacillales; Carnobacteriaceae. The record is from RNAcentral.